GUGGGGAAUAUUGGACAAUGGGCGAAAGCCUGAUCCAGCCAUGCCGCGUGUGUGAAGAAGGUCUUCGGAUUGUAAAGCACUUUAAGUUGGGAGGAAGGGUAGUAACCUAAUACGUUGCUACUUUGACGUUACCGACAGAAUAAGCACCGGCUAACUUCGUGCCAGCAGCCGCGGUAAUACGAAGGGUGCAAGCGUUAAUCGGAAUUACUGGGCGUAAAGCGCGCGUAGGUGGUUCAGUAAGUUGGAAGUGAAAUCCCCGGGCUCAACCUGGGAACUGCUUUCAAAACUGCUGAGCUAGAGUACGGUAGAGGGUGGUGGAAAUUCCUGUGUAGCGGUGAAAUGCGUAGAUAUAGGAAGGAACACCAGUGGCGAAGGCGACCACCUGGACUGAUACUGACACUGAGGUGCGAAAGCGUGGGGAGCAAACAGGAUUAGAAACCCCUGUAGUCC
RNAcentral lists this ribosomal RNA (450 nucleotides) under uncultured bacterium. RNAcentral's name for it is "partial 16S ribosomal RNA". It matches the Rfam family "Bacterial small subunit ribosomal RNA", at positions 354 to 796 of the family's 1533-position model. The record is from RNAcentral.